UACGUAGGGGGCAAGCGUUGUCCGGAAUUAUUGGGCGUAAAGAGCGUGUAGGCGGUCCGGUAAGUCAGCUGUGAAAGUCAAGGGCUCAACCCUUGAAUGCCGGUUGAUACUGUCGGGCUAGAGUCCGGAAGAGGCGAGUGGAAUUCCCGUUGUAGCGGUGAAAUGCGCAGAUAUCGGGAGGAACACCAAUGGCGAAGGCAGCUCGCUGGGACGGUACUGACGCUGAGACGCGAAAGCGUGGGGAGCAAACAGG
Molecule: ribosomal RNA, 253 nt
Filed under: uncultured bacterium
Lineage: Bacteria
Description: partial 16S ribosomal RNA
Rfam family: Bacterial small subunit ribosomal RNA
Source: RNAcentral